UAGGGAAUAUUGCAAAAUGGGCGAAAGCCCGAUGCAGCAACGCCGCGUGGGCGAUGAAGGCCUUCGGGUCGUAAAGCCCUUUUUGAGGGGAUGAGGAAGGACAGUACCCUCAGAAUAAGCCUCGGCUAACUACGUGCCAGCAGCCGCGGUAAAACGUAGGAGGCGAGCGUUAUCCGGAUUUACUGGGCGUAAAGCGCGUGCAGGCGGAUUGGAGAGUUGGAUGUGAAAGCUCCCGGCUUAACUGGGAGAGGUCGUUCAAUACUUCCAGUCCUGAGUGCAGUAGAGGGUAGUGGAAUUCCGGGUGUAGUGGUGAAAUGCGUAGAUAUCCGGAGGAACACCAGUGGCGAAAGCGGCUUCCUGGACUGUAACUGACGCUCAGACGCGAAAGCUAGGGUAGCAAACG
RNAcentral lists this ribosomal RNA (403 nucleotides) under uncultured bacterium. RNAcentral's name for it is "bacterial SSU rRNA". It matches the Rfam family "Bacterial small subunit ribosomal RNA", at positions 355 to 774 of the family's 1533-position model. The record is from RNAcentral.